GAUGAACGCUGGCGGCGUGCCUAAUACAUGCAAGUCGAGCGAACAGACGAGGAUCUUGCUCCUCUAACGUUAGCGGCGGACGGGUGAGUAACACGUGGAUAACCUACCUAUAAGACUGGGAUAACUUCGGGAAACCGGAGCUAAUACCGGAUAAUAUAUUGAACCGCAUGGUUCAAUAGUGAAAGACGGUUUUGCUGUCACUUAUAGAUGGAUCCGCGCCGCAUUAGCUAGUUGGUAAGGUAACAGCUUACCAAGGCAACGAUGCGUAGCCGACCUGAGAGGGUGAUCGGCCACACUGGAACUGAGACACGGUCCAGACUCCUACGGGAGGCAGCAGUAGGGAAUCUUCCGCAAUGGGCGAAAGCCUGACGGAGCAACGCCGCGUGAGUGAUGAAGGUCUUCGGAUCGUAAAGCUCUGUUAUUAGGGAAGAACAAAUGUGUAAGUAACUAUGCACGUCUUGACGGUACCUAAUCAGAAAGCCACGGCUAACUACGUG
RNAcentral lists this ribosomal RNA (497 nucleotides) under uncultured bacterium. Its description in RNAcentral is "partial 16S ribosomal RNA". It matches the Rfam family "Bacterial small subunit ribosomal RNA", at positions 28 to 507 of the family's 1533-position model. The record is from RNAcentral.